RNAcentral lists this ribosomal RNA (468 nucleotides) under uncultured bacterium. RNAcentral's name for it is "partial 16S ribosomal RNA". It matches the Rfam family "Bacterial small subunit ribosomal RNA", at positions 28 to 507 of the family's 1533-position model. The record is from RNAcentral.
GACGAACGCUGGCGGCGUGCUUAACACAUGCAAGUCGAACGGAAAGGCCCUGCUUUUGUGGGGUGCUCGAGUGGCGAACGGGUGAGUAACACGUGAGUAACCUGCCCUUGACUUUGGGAUAACUUCAGGAAACUGGGGCUAAUACCGGAUAGGAGCUCCUGCUGCAUGGUGGGGGUUGGAAAGUUUCGGCGGUUGGGGAUGGACUCGCGGCCUAUCAGCUUGUUGGUGGGGUAGUGGCUUACCAAGGCUUUGACGGGUAGCCGGCCUGAGAGGGUGACCGGCCACAUUGGGACUGAGAUACGGCCCAGACUCCUACGGGAGGCAGCAGUGGGGAAUAUUGCACAAUGGGCGGAAGCCUGAUGCAGCAACGCCGCGUGCGGGAUGACGUCCUUCGGGUUGUAAACCGCUUUCGCCUGUGACGAAGCGUGAGUGACGGUAAUGGGUAAAGAAGCACCGGCUAACUACGUG